ACCGUAAACAAUUAAUUUACACCAAUAAGCGCCAGGGAAUUACGAGCAACGCUUAAAACCCAAAGGAUUUGACGGUGUCCCACCCCACUAGAGGAGCCUGUUCUAUAAUCGAUGAUCCCCGCUACACCCGACCAUUUCUCGCUUAUCAGUCUGUAUACCUCCGUCGAAAGCUUACCAUGUGAACGUCCGCAGUAGGCUUAAUGAUCUCACACGUCAAUACGUCAGGUCAAGGUGCAGCUUAAGAAAUGGGAAGUAAUGGGCUACAAUUUCUAACUUAGAACAAACGAAAGACUGUGUGAAAUCACAAUCAUGAAGGUGGAUUUAGUAGUAAAAAGAAAAUAGAGUAUUCUUUUUAACCCGGCUCUGGGACGCGUACACACCGCCCGUCACCCUCUUCGAUAGUAUCAUAUUCAGUUCUUAACCCAUCAUUACGUUUUAGAAGAAGCAAGUCGUAACAUGGUAAGUGUACUGGAAAGUGCACUUGGUUUAU
Molecule: ribosomal RNA, 490 nt
Filed under: Lithobates virgatipes (carpenter frog)
Lineage: Eukaryota; Metazoa; Chordata; Amphibia; Anura; Ranidae
Description: Rana virgatipes (carpenter frog) partial 12S ribosomal RNA
Rfam family: Bacterial small subunit ribosomal RNA
Source: RNAcentral